This 1180-nucleotide unclassified non-coding RNA is filed under the name Hevea brasiliensis (rubber tree). Lineage: Eukaryota; Viridiplantae; Streptophyta; Magnoliopsida; Malpighiales; Euphorbiaceae. The record is from RNAcentral.
AAGCAACUAAAGCCCUUGAAGCCUUAAUGGGUUUUCGAUCGAUCGCGGGUGCAGCAACCCUCCCUCUCUCUUCGACGAAAACAGACUAAACUGUAUAUGUAUAAAUAUACACGACUUUGAACCACUUUACAAAGAUGAUAAUUGAUAAGGAUGCUCGCUGACUGAACCCUUUUAGACGCUUCCCCUUCUUCCUUAUCAUCUUCCUCUCCUCUUCUCUAUUAUAAUCUAUUUUCUUACUGACCCACCUUCUGUUCGUAUUGUGGUUGUUGGAAUUUCAUUUCUUUUUUUUGAUUUCCUCAUUAAUUUUUGUUGGUUUUUCCCCUUUUGUGGAUUUAAUUUUGGGUUUUGUUUCUACGGGUCUAAAAGCCUGAAGCUUGUGAUUGGACCUUGCGCUUGGCUAUCCUGAAGAUCCAAGCAUUUUCCAGUUCGGAAUUGAUUUUCUGAUGGAUGCAGAUUCAGAAAGAACUUCACAAGAUGUGCCUCUCUUUGCUGCUCAUGGCCAUGCAGAUGGUUUAGUGGUUGACCAUUCUGUCUACCCAGCAGCAUGUGUGCUGUGCAGAAGAACUUUUGCACCUGAUAAUGAUGAUCUUGAAACUAUAAAUAUAUGUGGGGACUGUAAAUUUUUGCUUCUCGAAGAUCCUGGGGACACCACACUUGAUUCUCUUCAGAGAAGGCCACGCAGAGGAAGAAGAACUAGGUACAGCAGCUCUGAAUCAAUUGAAAAUCUUUUUUCACAACAGUUAUCACAUAUGAUUAAUCAGGCGAGGCAAAACCAGUCCAUUGCGUCUGGUCAUGAUAAUCCAUCUGUAGAUGGAGAUACUUCUGUUAGACUAUUGCAGCACACAAGCUCCCAUACAACACCAACUGGUUCUAGAAGAUGGCGGCGGGUUCUCUCGGACACUGAAAGUGAGGGUUUUGAUAAUUUGGAUUCGCUUUAUGGUGAGAGUGAAACAACUCCCAGUGUUAGUUGGUCAAGGGUUUAUCAUGGUGAGAGUGAUGCCAUUUCUUUUAGUGCAUAUGGAGGGGACUCUGAUGUAGAUGCUGAUGGACAUAGUUAUGUGGAUACUGAGAUGUUUAUUCGACCAGAUGAGGGAAGCAAUGUUGACAGUGAUACUGACAUUGAUCCAAUGCAUGCUGGUCUCAACCAAUGGAACUCAGAUGACGAGGAAGAGGAAGAAGA